This 622-nucleotide long non-coding RNA is filed under the name Zea mays. RNAcentral's name for it is "long non-coding RNA (ZMAY_LNC000383)". Lineage: Eukaryota; Viridiplantae; Streptophyta; Magnoliopsida; Poales; Poaceae. The record is from RNAcentral.
UUUUUUUCAAUUAUAAAACUGAAAGUGCUUCAUGCUAGUGCUAGCACUAUCCAUGGCAAGGUCCCGCGCGGAGGAUGGGGCUGCGCUAGCACUAUCCAUGGGAACAGUCAUCAUCCAUCAACAGUACACGAGUUUUAGCACCUGCAGCCAAAUUACGAGCCCAUGAGUCACCGACGGAAAGCAAACAUCACGCCAGAAAAGUACCAAUCCAAUCUCGAAAGCGAGUAUCCGAGUCCCGACCCGAGCAAACAAAACCCUAAUCCCCUCCUAAACGCGUAGAAGAAUGAAUCUACGCGCCCGACUACAAUCCCCGUCGACCAGCAACAAAUCCGCGGAUCUCCUCAAAUCCCGGUCAACUCGAGGCGGGUGACCGCGAAAUCUCGGCUCAAAAUCCAAGGUUCCGCACCGGGAAAACUCGCGAUCGGGUCGACGAGGAGGAAGAAUCCAAGGAAAUCGCGAGUUCUGGGGAGGAAUUCGUACCUGCGCGUUGCUUGCUAUCGCGACGCGAGCGAGCGGGGAGGGGAAUUUGGGGGUAGAUGGCAGAGCGAGGGAAAGAGGAGGAGGAGGAGGCGAUUUCCUUGUUUGUUUGUUGUCGUCGCCGUGUUGGGAUUGGACUCCCUCG